Molecule: ribosomal RNA, 491 nt
Filed under: Peptostreptococcus sp. canine oral taxon 033
Lineage: Bacteria; Bacillati; Bacillota; Clostridia; Peptostreptococcales; Peptostreptococcaceae
Description: bacterial SSU rRNA
Rfam family: Bacterial small subunit ribosomal RNA
Source: RNAcentral
GAGUUUGAUUAUGGCUCAGGAUGAACGCUGGCGGCGUGCCUAACACAUGCAAGUCGGGCGCGGUUGUGCUUAGUAUUGAGUGUUUUAUUGAUAUAAAACAUUGAAUUCUAUGCACAACUGAGCGGCGGACGGGUGAGUAACGCGUGGGUAACCUGCCCUAUACACAUGGAUAACAUACUGAAAAGUUUACUAAUACAUGAUAAAAUAGUUUUUCGGCAUCGAAGAAUUAUCAAAGUGUUAGCGGUAUAGGAUGGACCCGCGUCUGAUUAGCUAGUUGGUGAGAUAACUGCCCACCAAGGCGACGAUCAGUAGCCGACCUGAGAGGGUGAUCGGCCACAUUGGAACUGAGACACGGUCCAAACUCCUACGGGAGGCAGCAGUGGGGAAUAUUGCACAAUGGGCGCAAGCCUGAUGCAGCAACGCCGCGUGAACGAUGAAGGUCUUCGGAUCGUAAAGUUUCUGUUGCAGGGGAAGAUAAUGACGUACCCUNG